This is a long non-coding RNA of Toxorhynchites rutilus septentrionalis, 1511 nucleotides long. RefSeq lists it as uncharacterized. NCBI's taxonomy places the organism in Eukaryota, Metazoa, Arthropoda, Insecta, Diptera, Culicidae. The transcript has 4 exons. The record is from RefSeq and is a predicted model, not a curated record.
AAUACACAUCCCUACUAACGAUUGGUAUAUGUUACUGUGCGCUAUCGGUAACUCAGACAAUUGUCAUCCCUGGCAAACGUGAAAAACUAUCAGUCAUUAUUUCAAUUUUCGCCGUGCAGAUAACAACAAUAAAGGUUUUUACAUAUGGUACACCUAAUUGCGCAGAGAGAGCAGAGAAACCGAUUCACAGUGGUGGUACUUUGCGAACCACCAGUGGAGGUGGAGGUAUCGUGCUGGGAAUAACCGGCGAAGAUGGUGAUAGCUCGGCCGAUAAACACCCGCAUGAUCUGGUGAACGAUUAAAUGUGAUAAGUGUCAGCAAUACUUGCAAGGUAAUCUCAUAGUGCAUCGGCAGUGCUCGGCCACGGGACUAGAACCGUGCGCAGCGGAAACUGGCACUAGGACGGUAACGUUGACUAGCCGUAGUCACCAGGCCUUUGGACUUAGUCUUUGCUAGCAGUUUAGCGUGGCCGAGCUGUCGGCGAUGCAGAUUGUCAUAAUAGUUUGCAACGAGCUCGACUAGAAAGCGAUGUGUAACUUGAACCUGGAUCUGUACAAGAUGUAUCGGACGACGUCACCGAACUACGACGAGGUUAACAAACUGCGUGAUUCACUCAACGAAAAUCUAAUCAACACCGAUCUGAGCAGCUACUCACCGGAGUGUGUAGCCAUGGUUCUUACGGGAGCUGCCCAAUCCGAUCAUUCCGAUUAUGUUUUACGAUAAAUUCGUCGUAAGUCUUAAAAAUUACCAGUGAUGCGUAGCUAUUCGAUAUCCAGGAUCUGCCAAUUUACCACAACAUGACGCUCAAGUAUAUUGUGAUUCAUCUAAUACGAAUAUGCCAAAUGUAGUACCAGCGGGAACUGGAAGAGGAACCGACAAUACUGAUACAAGUGUGGUGCCAUAUUCUAAUGUAUCCUCCUUGGGAGAAAAUUGUUCAAAUCGUGUAUUACACGGAAUGCCACUUGCGAAUAAUGGAACUAUUGCUCUAUAAGCUGGACUGGAACGAAAAACUACCAGAAACUUCCGUCUGCUCCUACGGUACCACCACGGAAAAUCUCCCGAAGUACGGCUGUGUUACAGCAGCAGCAGCAGCAACAACAAAUACCCGGUUCAUUCACUGUUUUACCAACAGCAUAGGCUUCUCCAAAAAGCCUGCGAUCUCAUUCCCGGCAUCUGUGAUACAAGCGCCCUUGAUUGGGGUGUAUAAUAAUACCGGUAGGAAUAUUGAUAAUGGAACACUGGCUGCUGAAAGUCGGGGGUUAGCGUUGAUGAUGCAAACACACCAGCUGACCUGAUGGAUCAAAUCUACCGAUUCCUUCCUCGAGUUCGAAUUUUAUUUUGAUUGAUUACAAUUAAAAAAAAGUUUGUUUUCAUUACAAUGGAAAAGAAAUUAUUACGAUUCUAUGUCUGAUCAAAAUACCAUUGAACCGACGUUGGACUGACAAAUGGGCCCGUGUUGAACAAAUUACAUAUACAUUUAGGGUAUAUGUUAAACCAACGUUGAACCAACC